RNAcentral lists this ribosomal RNA (230 nucleotides) under uncultured bacterium. Its description in RNAcentral is "partial 16S ribosomal RNA". It matches the Rfam family "Bacterial small subunit ribosomal RNA", at positions 87 to 334 of the family's 1533-position model. The record is from RNAcentral.
UAACGUCAGCGGCAGACGGGUGAGUAACGCGUGGGAACAUACCUCUUGGUUCGGAACAACACAGGGAAACUUGUGCUAAUACCGGAUAAGCCCUUACGGGGAAAGAUUUAUCGCCGAGAGAUUGGCCCGCGUCUGAUUAGCUAGUUGGUAGGGUAACGGCCUACCAAGGCGACGAUCAGUAGCUGGUCUGAGAGGAUGGCCAGCCACACUGGGACUGAGACACGGCCCAG